This is a long non-coding RNA of Hydra vulgaris (swiftwater hydra), 789 nucleotides long. RefSeq lists it as uncharacterized. The record is from RefSeq and is a predicted model, not a curated record. Lineage: Eukaryota; Metazoa; Cnidaria; Hydrozoa; Anthoathecata; Hydridae.
ACUGCAUCUAAAAUAUAUAUCUGAAAAAAACUUAAUAUGCGUUUGAGAAAGGUCUAAAAUGUAAUUGUUGUCUAAUAUGUGGGAUUAAAAGUCACUUCAUUUAUAUAAAAAGAUUUUUUAUAAAUAUUAAGAUAUGAAAGACAACCCUCUUUACAGAUAGUUGCUCUGAUAGUAUAUUAGAAUACAUUUGGUGUUGUAUUUCGUAGUAUACUAGAAUACACUUGGUGUUGUAUUUUAAAAGUAUCAAGAAUGAAGAGAGAUUAUCAUCUUGUAACAUUUAUUUGUUUACUUACGAUUGUGAGUGCUGGUAGGGAGAUCAACUCACACAAUAAAUGUUUAUUUUUCAAGGGUACUUUUUUAAAUAAUAGAAUCUUGUCAAAUGUUGAUUUGGGUUACACGUAUAUUUCUUCAUGUCAAAGAACAAGUAACAGUGAUGGUGAUUGGGUAAAGAUCAUGUCGUCCUCAACUUGGUAUGAAAAGCCUGCAGGAAAUGGAAAUAUCUAUAUAUGUGUUGAACGUGUAGACAUUUGUUUGGGCCUAGACAUUAAUUGGGCUAAGUUGCGAAUUGAAGCCGUCGCAAAAAAGUUUAACGAAAAAGACAUCGCUCAACAAUGGAAACUUGAAAAUAAAAAAUUGACUAACGCUGAAAUGACUCCAUUAUUUUGUGCAGAAUUUCAAGAUAACUUGGUUAUGAGAAAAUGCAAGCUUAAUGAACCCAAUCAAAUAAUUGACUUUUUUACGGCGGUUUUGUAAUGAAAGUAUUUUGAAAAUUACGAUUCAAAACUUUUA